UGUAGUCAUAUGCUUGUCUCAAAGAUUAAGCCAUGCAUGUCUAAGUAUAAACAACUUUAUACUGUAAAACUGCGAACGGCUCAUUACAUCAGCAAUAAUUUAUUUGAUGAUUUCUUACUACAUGGAUAACUGUAGUAAUUCUAGAGCUAAUACAUGCGCAAAGUCCUGACUCGCGAGGGGAGGGAUGUAUUUAUUAGAUACAAAACCAAUGCGGGUUCUGCUCGCCAUUGUGUUGAAUCAUAGUAACUUAUCGAACGCCAUAGCCUUGUGCUGGGCGUAGAUCAUUCAAAUUUCUGCCCUAUCAGCUUUCGACGGUAGUGUAGUGGACUACCGUGGCGUCAACGGGUAACGGGGA
RNAcentral lists this ribosomal RNA (355 nucleotides) under uncultured fungus. Its description in RNAcentral is "SSU rRNA". It matches the Rfam family "Eukaryotic small subunit ribosomal RNA", at positions 21 to 368 of the family's 1831-position model. The record is from RNAcentral. Lineage: Eukaryota; Fungi.